UUCUUUUUAAUCAUAAAAUUCUGAUAGACACUUUGUCCUAAGCUUGUUUUAACAACUAACCACACUAAACUGGUUGUUGCUGUAGUUAACCAGCACUAAUCAGCAUAAUCUGCUUAAAGCAGAAUAAAUUAAUGCAGGGAUAAGCUGCUGUUUUUCUGUGGGAAAAGCUGAGAUUGCAUUUUUCAAAAUUAAGGCAAAUAUAAAGGAUGAAAAAGUAAUCAUAGAUUAUUUGCCACCCCACAGCCAGAGGGUAACCUCCCCUGAAUUUUAUAACUAAUAAUCCAUAAAGCAUAAAAGAUUGCACAGACACAGAGUAAUUGUGACACCUUGCCAAAAAAACCCUAGUUAUCAUGCUCAGGGGAAAAAAAAAAGAACAACAAGGCUCAAAGGAAGCAGUGCAUAUAAAGCACUACAACACAACAAGACUUCGAAGACCACACUGCAAUUUCACAAGAACAAAAAUCUCAACAUGUACUUGUUCCUCGGCUGUCAGAGGCCUCAGUCAAACCAUCAGACACCCUCUCCAAUGUAAUAAAAGCCCUGAUCCGGUAGUGCUUCUCUAAUGGGAGCACUGAGAAGAGACUGCAUCCGGAACGAGGACUGUUCAGAGACUGGAUAUGUUCAAAGAAGUCAUAGCAUUCAUGAACACUGAAACUAUAAUCAGUGCGCUUCUAUUUGUGUGCCUGCUCAAACUAUUGGAGUGGGGAGGAAAUGUGUGGUUUAACACUGAGAUCCACAACAAAAUCAAGGACUAACGGCUUUCAGGUCUGGUAGUAUAGCAGAACAGCUACUUACACUUUGUCAAGAACCUUUUAAAUAAAUAAUUAGCAUUCCUAACAACAAAUCUGCAAUAACGGACACUGACACUCAACCUAAAAUACUUUUAUGCCCACUUUGAUGCCACUAAUUAUGACAUUACCAAACAAAACCCCAGCAAGCACAUGUACCUAUUCCACAGAUUAUAUUUGAUGCUAUGUGGUUCUGCAAAAAGAAAGCCAAUAGAAAAAAGAAUGUGAUGUUUCAUCUAGCAUAAUGAAAACAUGUUCUGUAUAGUUGAAGAGAAUAUAUUCAUACACAAUUCCCAUUUUACUCCAACAAGAGACCACUCCACACUGUGUUAAACAAUCUGCUAUACACCAACUACACACACAGCAGUAGCCAUGUGCUAGAAGCUAGUAACAUAUCAAUAUGAUAAUUCCACAUUUCCUUGAAGGCCAGCAGGCUGCCUCAUACACAAACAGGUCUGUAGACAAGACACCAGAUAUAGGUCCUUACUCUUCUCUCCAGCACCAGCAGAAAUUUAAUUCCUAUGUACUAGGUAACCUCAAUACGCCAGUGAGGAAUCUAGUUGACCUUGUCCUACUAUCUGACAAUUGCAUCUGUAUCUUUGACAUUUCAUCUAA
Silurus meridionalis is the source of this 1403-nucleotide long non-coding RNA. RefSeq lists it as uncharacterized. The record is from RefSeq and is a predicted model, not a curated record. NCBI's taxonomy places the organism in Eukaryota, Metazoa, Chordata, Actinopteri, Siluriformes, Siluridae. The transcript has 5 exons.